CUCAGCCGCGCCUCAUCCGACCUUCCGCCGUAGUCGCCCUCAACCGCGCCUCAUCCCACCUUCCAUCGAAGUCGCCCUCAGUCGCACCUCAUCCCACCUUCUGCUGCAGUCACCCUUAGUCAUGCCUCAUCCUAUCUCCAACCGCGACUCUCGGCGUUCUCGCUACAGUUCCUCGUCCCACCUUCCGUGCAGCCGCCCUCGGUCGUGCCUCAUCCCGCCGCAGUCACCCUCAGCCGCGCCUCAUCCCACCUUCCGCCGCAGUCAUCCUCAACCACACCUCAUCCCAUCUUCAGCCGUGACCCUCAGCGUUCCCUCCCAACCGAGCGAUUGUCCCUUCCCCCUCCAACCAAGCAAUCGCCACCAGCAUCUCAUCCUAGCCGUGCAACCGCCUCUUCCCCCUCCAGCCGCGACCCUUGGCAUUCCCUCCCAACCGAGCAAUCAUCUCUUUCCCUCCAAGCAAGCGAUCGUUGCUGCCUCCUAGUCACGCCACCAUCGCUGCUCCCAACCCUCGGCGAUGUUGCUGCCA
Molecule: long non-coding RNA, 526 nt
Filed under: Musa acuminata (dwarf banana)
Lineage: Eukaryota; Viridiplantae; Streptophyta; Magnoliopsida; Zingiberales; Musaceae
Description: long non-coding RNA (MACU_LNC002298)
Source: RNAcentral